AUUAAUAAGCGGAGGAAAAGAAACCAACCGGGAUUCCCUGAGUAAGGGCGACUGAAACGGGAGGAGCCCAGCGCAUAACCUCGCGGUCCUUUGCCGGCCGACGAGGGGUGUUGCGUUUCGGUGGAUCCAUCCCGCUCGGACCGUUUACCGCCUAAGUCAUUGCUUGAAAGCAGCCCCAAGGAGGGUGAUAGGCCCGUGUGGCGGCGCCUGUAAAAAGGGUAAAGGCGGUCCGGGCGGAGGGGUCUUCACCGCAGAGUCGGGUUGCUUAGUACUGCAGCCCUAAGCAGGUGGUAAACUCCAUCUAAGGCUAAAUACUACCACGAGUCCGAUAGAAAACAAGUACCGUGAGGGAAAGUU
Molecule: ribosomal RNA, 357 nt
Filed under: Nematocarcinidae sp. CARID040-14
Lineage: Eukaryota; Metazoa; Arthropoda; Malacostraca; Decapoda; Nematocarcinidae
Also listed under: 1 other name
Description: eukaryotic LSU rRNA
Rfam family: Eukaryotic large subunit ribosomal RNA
Source: RNAcentral